AAGAAUGAAGAAAAGCCAGAAAAGGGAAAGAGCAGAUAGGACUCGGAAACUGCACAACGACAGAAAGAUGAAAGGAUGUUAUUAAGGCACCUGACCACGAACAGGCGCGGUCAUAAUGGUUCUUGAUAUUCACCCCCUCGGCAGUAGGGGCGAUAACUACCGAGAAGGUGAAGGGGCAAUUGAUGACCGCUGGAUUUCUCCAUCCUGGCCCAGGGCCUGGAUCAUAGCCAAAAGCCCAUCUUGCAAAGGCCCACACACCUGCUACACGAAACAAGCCUGGUUCGU
This 285-nucleotide long non-coding RNA is filed under the name Manihot esculenta (cassava). RNAcentral describes it as "long non-coding RNA (MESC_LNC009769)". Lineage: Eukaryota; Viridiplantae; Streptophyta; Magnoliopsida; Malpighiales; Euphorbiaceae. The record is from RNAcentral.